GCGGAUGGUUGGGUGACUGCGUGUUAAUCACGAGGAAAGUCCGGACUCCAGAGAGAAAUGAUGCCGGGUAACGCCCGGCCAGGGUAACUUGAGGGAAAGCGCCACAGAAAAAAUACCGCUCAGUUUUAAGAGUAAGGGUGAAAAGGUAAGGUAAGAGCUUACCGCCAAUGUAGUAAUAUAUUGGGCACGGCAAGCCCCGUCAGGAGCAAAAUCAAAUAGGAACUGCGUGGAAUCUUCCGAAGCACUCCACUUCAGCAGUUCGGGUAGAUUGCUUGAGCUUAAAGGUAACGAUAAGCCUAGAUGAAUAGUCACCGUGAUAUCCAAUUAUGAAUAUCAUUACAGAAUCCGGCUUACAGACCAUCCGCGUUA
Molecule: RNase P RNA, 369 nt
Filed under: Paracoccaceae bacterium
Lineage: Bacteria; Pseudomonadati; Pseudomonadota; Alphaproteobacteria; Rhodobacterales; Paracoccaceae
Description: Rhodobacteraceae bacterium RNase P RNA component class A
Rfam family: Bacterial RNase P class A
About the family: Ribonuclease P (RNase P) is a ubiquitous endoribonuclease, found in archaea, bacteria and eukarya as well as chloroplasts and mitochondria. Its best characterised activity is the generation of mature 5'-ends of tRNAs by cleaving the 5'-leader elements of precursor-tRNAs.
Source: RNAcentral